GUCCUAGUUACCAGCACGUUAUGUGGGCACUCUAAGGAGACUGCCGGUGACAAACCGGAGGAAGGUGGGGAUGACGUCAAGUCAUCAUGGCCCUUACGGCCUGGGCUACACACGUGCUACAAUGGUCGGUACAAAGGGUUGCCAAGCCGCGAGGUGGAGCUAAUCCCAUAAAACCGAUCGUAGUCCGGAUCGCAGUCUGCAACUCGACUGCGUGAAGUCGGAAUCGCUAGUAAUCGUGAAUCAGAAUGUCACGGUGAAUACGUUCCCGGGCCUU
This 274-nucleotide ribosomal RNA is filed under the name uncultured Pseudomonas sp. Its description in RNAcentral is "partial 16S ribosomal RNA". It matches the Rfam family "Bacterial small subunit ribosomal RNA", at positions 1107 to 1382 of the family's 1533-position model. The record is from RNAcentral. Lineage: Bacteria; Pseudomonadati; Pseudomonadota; Gammaproteobacteria; Pseudomonadales; Pseudomonadaceae.